Molecule: long non-coding RNA, 712 nt
Filed under: Arabidopsis thaliana (thale cress)
Lineage: Eukaryota; Viridiplantae; Streptophyta; Magnoliopsida; Brassicales; Brassicaceae
Description: long non-coding RNA (ATHA_LNC000195)
Source: RNAcentral
UUGAACUGUUGAGCUGCUGCUUCAACUUCCGCUGCGGUUGACAUUGUCACAAAUCCGAAACCCCUGCUCCGGCCAGUCACUUUGUCAUAGAUAACCUACAAUAUCAAACUCAUUUCAUCACAAAUGAAAACAAUCUCAAACCUUUAGCUAUGUUCUCACUUUAACUCUACUCAAAACGAUUCAAACCCAAUUAAGAAAGAUAAUUAAUCCAAAUCUGAAAACAGAAACCUAAAUUUAUCUUACCUCAACCAUCUCAACAUUUCCAGCGCUCUCAAAGAGCUGAGCAAGCUGAGCGCUAUCAACGUUAAAAGAAAGGUUACCAACAAAGAGCUUAAGGUCAGGAGAGAAGGAGUUACGCUCCACAGGCGCUGAAUCGUCACCGUCAGCGAACAUAUCAUCUUCCUCCACCUCAAAAUCCGAAGAUACAGCAACGUUUCUAACGAAACGCGACGGGUACUCGGCGGGGGAUGAGCAUUUGAGGGCGGAGGAAGCGAAGAUAGAGACGAGGUGGUCGGAGUGAAGUUUGAAGGAGAGGGAAGGAGGUAAGACGGAGACGGAAGCGGGUCUGGAGACGCAGAGAGGAAGGGAUUUAGGAUUGAAAGCAGAGAGGGAAGAAGCAGAGGCAGACAUGGCUAAAGCUUGAGAGAAUUUUGCUCUCGAGGCUAAAGCUUUGAGAAGCUGGUGGUGAAGAGAUAAGGUUUAAGGGUUCUGC